RNAcentral lists this ribosomal RNA (254 nucleotides) under uncultured bacterium. RNAcentral's name for it is "partial 16S ribosomal RNA". It matches the Rfam family "Bacterial small subunit ribosomal RNA", at positions 524 to 776 of the family's 1533-position model. The record is from RNAcentral.
GACGGAGGGUGCUAGCGUUGUUCGGAAUCACUGGGCGUAAAGGGCGCGUAGGCGGCCUUGCAAGUCGGUUGGUGAAAGCCCGGGGCUCAACCCCGGAGGUGCGGCCGAGACUGCAGGGCUGGAGGCCGGAAGAGGAGGGUGGAAUACCCAGUGUAGAGGUGAAAUUCGUAGAUAUUGGGUGGAACACCGGUGGCGAAAGCGGCUCUCUGGCCCGGACCUGACGCUGAGGCGCGAAAGCGUGGGGAGCAAACAGG